Molecule: long non-coding RNA, 720 nt
Filed under: Homo sapiens (human)
Lineage: Eukaryota; Metazoa; Chordata; Mammalia; Primates; Hominidae
Description: HSALNT0114268
Source: RNAcentral
GGCAGUCAGCCUUGAUUCCUGCAUCUUCUUUCCCAACACAUACAACAAACCCACACCUAGUAUCAUACUGAACAGGGGAAAACUGAAAACCUAUCUUCUAAGAUCUAGAACAAGACAAGGAUGCUGACUUUUAUCACUUUUAUUCAACAUAGUACUGAACGUUCUAGCCAGAGCAAUGAGACAAGAGAAAUAAAUAAAAAGCAUUCAAAUUAGAAAGGAAGAAGUCAAUUAGAAAGGAAGAAGUCAAAUUAUCCUGGAUAGCAGAUGAUAUCAUCUUAUAUUUAGAAAAAUGCAGACAUUACCAAAAAACUAUUAGAACUGGCAAAUAAAUUCAGUAAACGUUCAGUUUACAAAAUCAACACACAAAAAAUUAGUAGCAUUUCUAUAUGCCAAUAGCAAACAAUUUGAAAAAAAAACCAAGAAAGUAAUUCCAUUUACAAUGGCUACAAAUAAAAUAUCUAAAAAUUAACAAAAGAAGGGAAAGAUCUUUUCAAUUAAAACUAUAAAACAUUGAUAAAAUAAAUUGAAGAAGACACAAAAAAUGAAAAGAUAGCCCAUGUUCAUGGAUUGGAAGCAUCAAUAUUGUUUAAAUGUUCAUACUACCCAAAGCAAUCUACAGAUUCAAUGCAAUCCCUAUCAAAAUAUCAAUGACAUUCUUCACAAAAAAACUUAACAUUUAUAUGAAACCACAAAAGAUCCAGAAUUACCAAAGCCACCCUG